UCGGAUUGUAGUCUGCAACUCGACUACAUGAAGCUGGAAUCGCUAGUAAUCGCGGAUCAGAAUGCCGCGGUGAAUACGUUCCCGGGUCUUGUACACACCGCCCGUCACACCAGUGGGAGUCAGUAACGCCCGAAGCCGGUGACCCAACCUAACAAGGGAGGGAGCCGUCGAAGGCGGGACGGAUGACUGGGGUGAAGUCGUAACAAGGUAAC
RNAcentral lists this ribosomal RNA (212 nucleotides) under uncultured bacterium. RNAcentral's name for it is "partial 16S ribosomal RNA". It matches the Rfam family "Bacterial small subunit ribosomal RNA", at positions 1293 to 1500 of the family's 1533-position model. The record is from RNAcentral.